CCCUAGCCCCGAUAGUAGUGGAAAUCCUUUUUAUUUUUUCUUUAAAAAUAAAAAGAUUGCAACGAAUAGCGGGAAAUAGC
Molecule: small RNA, 80 nt
Filed under: Flavobacterium sp. 1
Lineage: Bacteria; Pseudomonadati; Bacteroidota; Flavobacteriia; Flavobacteriales; Flavobacteriaceae
Description: Flavo-1 RNA
Rfam family: Flavo-1 RNA
Source: RNAcentral